AAGACACCUUUCUCUUCUGGGGCCCAUAAAGGAGCUAGAUAUCCCCAGCCUCAGAAGAAUCAUGACUAAUCUAGGCUAGGAAACAGUAGCUCCUAAAACAGUUAAGAAAUUAAGCAUUGGACUAGGUGAUUUUCUUCCAAUCUCACUUUUGUGGAUACAAAAGAAGGUCCCUGUUUUUUUGCUGGCAGAUCUGCAGCCUAAAGGAAGGAACUCAGCUCAGGUACUCAACAAUGCAUGCUAAGCAAGUUUCCUGAAGUUGGUUUGAAUCUUCUAACCACAAAACAUCUUAGGAGCAUGGAACUCCGUCCCUUCCUCCUUCCCCACCCCCACUACCCCAUGGGAGCACACGUUUUUCCAGCCAGACAAAGAAAGAAACAAAAUGGAGUGAAACCGAGCCAGAGAGCCAAAGUUUCAUUAGGGACAUCUGAAUAUAACUGUCUAUGUUUUCCAGAGCACAGGACAUAUGCUGGCCUAGCCUGGCUGUGCCAAUGGCAUUAGUGUGGAGGACAUCAGAAGGAUGUUGGAUCCAGUCCCAAACACAUCCUGAACCUCUCAGCAAAGAGCAACUGAAACUCAAGGCCAUGGGAAUGGAGAGUGUUUUCCAUGGACACUCUGAGUUUGUGGAGUUAAUCAAGCAUUUUCAAUAGUCUCUUUGGGGAAGCUGGU
Vombatus ursinus (common wombat) is the source of this 666-nucleotide long non-coding RNA. RefSeq lists it as uncharacterized. The transcript is spliced from 3 exons. Lineage: Eukaryota; Metazoa; Chordata; Mammalia; Diprotodontia; Vombatidae. The record is from RefSeq and is a predicted model, not a curated record.